GGGGGUGGCACAGACCAGGGGGUAGCGACUGUUUACCAAAAACACAGGUGCAUGCGAAGGCGCAAGCCGCUGUAUAUGCACUGACGCCUGCCCGGUGCCGGAAGGUUAAGAGGAUCCGUCAGUCCCUUUUGGGGUGAAGCGGUGAAUUCAAGCCCCGGUAAACGGCGGUGGUAACUAUAACCAUCCUAAGGUAGCGAAAUUCCUUGUCGGGUAAGUUCCGACCUGCACGAAUGGCGUAACGACUUCCCCACUGUCUCGACCAGGAGCUCGGCGAAAUUGCAGUACGAGUAAAGAUGCUCGUUAAGCGCAGAAGGACGAAAAGACCCCGGGACCUUUACUAUACCUUGGUAUUGGCGUUAGGCGCGGAUUGUGUAGCAUAGGCGGGAGGCUUCGAAGCAUGGGCGCCAGCCCGUGUGGAGCCGCAAGGUGAAAUACCGCUCUGUUCUCGUUUGACGUCUAACCUCGAACAGUCAUCCUGUUCAGGGACAGUGCCUGGCGGGUAGUUUAACUGGGGCGGUUGCCUCCCAAAGAGUAACGGAGGCGCUCAAAGGUCCGCUCAGCCCGGUUGGCAAUCGGGUUUCGAGUGUAAUCGCACAAGCGGGCUUGACUGCGAGAACGACGGUUCGGGCAGGGACGAAAGUCGGAGAUAGUGAUCCGGUGCCGGCGCACGGGCGCGGCAUCGCUCAACGGAUAAAAGGUACCCCGGGGAUAACAGGCUGAUCAUUCCCAAGAGUCCAUAUCGACGGGAUGGUUUGGCACCUCGAUGUCGGCUCGUCGCAUCCUGGGGCUGGAGCAGGUCCCAAGGGUUCGGCUGUUCGCCGAUUAAAGCGGCACGCGAGCUGGGUUCAGAACGUCGUGAGACAGUUUGGUCUCUAUCCUCUGCGCUCGUUGGAAUCCUGAGGAGGCCUGCCCAUAGUACGAGAGGACCUGGGUGGACGGACCUCUGGUAUGCCGGUUGUCGCGCCAGCGGCAUGGCCGGUUGGCUACGUUCGGGAGGGAUAACCGCUGAAAGCAUCUAAGCGGGAAGCCUGCUCCAAGAUUAGGAUUCCUUGACGCUCCCCGGAGCGCCUGUAGCCCGCAUGUUGAACACGUGUUCGAUAGGCCGGAGGUGGAAGCCCCGCGAGGGGUGGAGCCGACCGGUACUAACGGGCGAACGCGGCACACU
This 1165-nucleotide ribosomal RNA is filed under the name human gut metagenome. RNAcentral's name for it is "bacterial LSU rRNA". It matches the Rfam family "Bacterial large subunit ribosomal RNA", at positions 1772 to 2925 of the family's 2925-position model. The record is from RNAcentral.